This 254-nucleotide ribosomal RNA is filed under the name uncultured bacterium. RNAcentral describes it as "partial 16S ribosomal RNA". It matches the Rfam family "Bacterial small subunit ribosomal RNA", at positions 524 to 776 of the family's 1533-position model. The record is from RNAcentral.
CACGUAGGGUGCGAGCGUUGUCCGGAAUUAUUGGGCGUAAAGAGCUCGUAGGCGGUGUGUCGCGUCGGCCGUGAAAACCUGCAGCUUAACUGUGGGCUUGCGGUCGAUACGGGCAUCACUGGAGUUCGGCAGGGGAGACUGGAAUUCCUGGUGUAGCGGUGAAAUGCGCAGAUAUCAGGAGGAACACCGGUGGCGAAGGCGGGUCUCUGGGCCGAUACUGACGCUGAGGCACGAAGGCCAGGGGAGCAAACGGG